GCCCGGGCUUCGGCCUGGUUAUUCAUAACCCUUUGUUGUCCGACUCUGUUGCCUCCGGGGCGACCCUGCCUUCGGGCGGGGGCUCCGGGUGGACACUUCAUACUCUUGCGUAACUUUGCAGUCUGAGUAAACUUAAUUAAUAAAUUAAAACUUUUAACAACGGAUCUCUUGGUUCUGGCAUCGAUGAAGAACGCAGCGAAAUGCGAUAAGUAAUGUGAAUUGCAGAAUUCAGUGAAUCAUCGAAUCUUUGAACGCACAUUGCGCCCCCUGGUAUUCCGGGGGGCAUGCCUGUUCGAGCGUCAUUUCACCACUCAAGCCUCGCUUGGUAUUGGGCAACGCGGUCCGCCGCGUGCCUCAAAUCGUCCGGCUGGGUCUUCUGUCCCCUAAGCGUUGUGGAAACUAUUCGCUAAAGGGUGUUCGGGAGGCUACGCCGUAAAACAACCCCAUUUCUAACGUUGACCUCGGAUCACGUAGGGAUACCCGCUGAACUUAAGCAUAUCAAU
This 503-nucleotide ribosomal RNA is filed under the name uncultured fungus. Its description in RNAcentral is "eukaryotic LSU rRNA". The stretch from base 149 to 302 matches the Rfam family "5.8S ribosomal RNA". Lineage: Eukaryota; Fungi. The record is from RNAcentral.